Molecule: long non-coding RNA, 1976 nt
Organism: Lycium barbarum (goji berry)
Lineage: Eukaryota; Viridiplantae; Streptophyta; Magnoliopsida; Solanales; Solanaceae
Exons: 3
Source: RefSeq, a predicted model, not a curated record
CUUCUUACUUUCCCUCUCUUUUGUCCACGUAAUUUGUCAAACAGUCACUCAACUAACAAUUUUUAUUUUUUGUUUCAGAAAGUUACUCUAACUUUAUAACAAAAAAAAAAUCACUCAACUAUUGUCAUUUUGUCCACAAAUUCAGUCAACUUGAAUUGUUUGAGGGACUUUAUAGGUGAAAAGUAGAGUGGUUUUGUAAGUGAAAUAGCAAUAGUUGAGUGACUUUAUAGAUGAAAUGGAAAUACUUGAGCAAAUUAAGUGACUUUCUGGAAUAAAAUGUUUUAGUUGAGUAACAAAUUAACUCCACUUUUCUCUCUAGUCAAUUCUAUCGGUAUCAUUUGCUUGUACAUUUUCGAAAAGCGCAUGGCUUCUGCAAAUAAACGAAUAUACAAUUCUAUUUUAUUCAGCAUUAUCAUUAUAUUUGAGGAGUUAAAUUUUGUUUCCUAACUACAUGAUUGUUUUACAUUGCUAAGGUCUUGUUUGGUAGCUUGUUAGAAGCCUCAUUUGUUUGCACUAUGAUUCAGACCUUAAGCCAUUAAGUGCAUUUGUUUGCAUUAAGAUCUAAACAUUUAUUGGGUCUGAAUAGGUCUUAAUAAUUAAGAUCUUGAAUCAAGUCUUAAUAUCAUUAAGAGGUAUUUUUGUAUGAAACUUUUUUAUCACCAACUCCAACCCUUCACCUCAACCCCACCCCCACCCCCACCCACUCUCCACUCCAACCUCACCCAUCCACCUCAACCCCACCCCACCACUUACCCACCCUCCACUCCAACCCCCCACUCCCCACCACCCUCACGCCACCACCAACGCCAAUCCCACCCCACACCGCCUAUCCCCACUCCCCACCACCAAUCCCUACCCCACACCACCCACCACCAACCCCACUUCCACUCCCCACCAACAACCCCUACCCCACACCACCCAUCCCCACUCCCCACUACCCGUCACCCCCACCCCCACUCCCAGCCAACCCUAACCCCACAACCUCCCACCCCUCACCCCAACCACCCACUCACCCCUCCACCCUCUCUGACCCCACUGACCACUCACCACGACUACAAAACAUCUCCACCAUUACUAGUGAACAUAAAUGUUUCAUUUUUUUUAUCAAAUAAUAUUUUUUUAAUUAAAUUUGUAUUUAUUUUCUACUAUUUAGUUACUUUUUAAUUUGAAUUAUAUAUUUAUUAUGUUUAAAUAAACACACUAUGCACAUUCAGAUAUUGAAAAACAAACAGUUUUAAUCAUUCAGUGUUCAGACCUAGAGACAACAUCUGUUACGUCCCGUAUUUUUAUACAUUGGGACAACCCGGAUUAACUAUGAUAAAUUAAGGCCAAGACUAUUCCGGGAUUUGAAGUCGGGACUUUUGACCUUUGAUUUUAUUUUGAGACAUAAGUUGUGUAUGAAAUUGUUAGCUUGAACACUUAGGAAAAAUUGGGACCAUAAUUCAUAAAUUUGGAAAUUAAAACUCUUGCAUAAAAAAAAAAGGGGGAAGAUGUGUGGAUUGAAGUGGUCCCCACACAUUGUUGUGGCCAAUUUUAAUUGGUCCAACACAUGUGUGGGCCCAAAGACAAUAAGAGAUAUUUUAAGGGGACUUAAAAGAUGACCACUUAGUCAUCUUUCUCUCAUUUCACAUUCCCACACUUAGAAAAUAAAGCAAGAAGUUGAGGAACCAAAACCAUGGCUCACGGCCAAGACCAUGGAAAACCAAAUCCAAAUCAAGCCCCUCUAAAAAUAUUUCUUGGGUACAAAUCAACUAAUUAGAGGUCCCUAAGUAACUUGGAAGCAUUGUUGGAGUGAUCAAGUCUUUCAUUUAAGAGAUUUGCAAACCCUAGCCUAUUGGUGGAUUGAAGAAGAAAGACCUUGGGGAGCCCGAGGCGUGGAUUGGAAAUUUACUUUAGAUUGGCUAUUUUGGAAGGGCGUACGAGGUACAGACGCACAGCCUGGUGAUCCACCUGUUUAGGACACCCUUUCUGCUAUU